Molecule: ribosomal RNA, 489 nt
Filed under: uncultured bacterium
Lineage: Bacteria
Description: bacterial SSU rRNA
Rfam family: Bacterial small subunit ribosomal RNA
Source: RNAcentral
UGGCGGCGUGCCUAUCAUGCAAGUAGAGCGGACUCUUUCGGGGGUCAGCGGCGGACGGGUGAGUACACGUGGGUAACCUGCCGGACAGACGGGGAUAACGCCUGGAAACGGGUGCUAAUCCCGGGUAGAUUCUCUCUUCGCAUGGAGGGGGAAGGGAAGGUGGCGCAAGUCACCGCUGUUCGAGGGGCCCGCGGCGCAUUAGCUCGUUGGCGGGGUAAGGGCCCACCAAGGCGACAAUGCGUAGCCGACCUGAGAGGGUGAGCGGCCACACUGGGACUGAGACACGGCCCAUACUCCUACGGGAGGCAGCAGUAGGGAAUCUUCGGCAAUGGGCGACAGCCUGACCGAGCAACGCCGCGUGAGUGAAGACGGUCUUCGGAUUGUAAAGCUCUGUCAUGCGGGACGAGCGACAAGGAGAGGGCAUGCUCCUUGAGAGACGGUACCGCAAGAGGAAGCCCCGGCUAACUACGUGCCAGCAGCCGCGGUAAU